This is a long non-coding RNA of Mauremys mutica (yellowpond turtle), 631 nucleotides long. RefSeq lists it as uncharacterized. NCBI's taxonomy places the organism in Eukaryota, Metazoa, Chordata, Testudines, Geoemydidae. The record is from RefSeq and is a predicted model, not a curated record. The transcript is spliced from 5 exons.
UAUACUUUUGCUCUUUAGGUUACUUUGCAUAUUCUUAUCACAGAGAAUUCUUGUUGACUCUCUUCAUGUGGUUCCUAGCAUCCUCAUCUACAUUCCCAUCAUGGAUGAACACUGAUCUGAGACUGGAAGAAACUUGAAGUACAUCCCCUGUACUACACAAUGAGCUGAUUGAUUGGAAGCCCACUGAAGCACGUGAAUUCUCUUUGGAGCAACAAUGUGCCCCAGGAUAUGUGCUGCAAUACUUCAAGCCAGGCAUGGCAUCCACUGGUGCUUCUGGGCUCAAGAGAAAGGAUCAAAUGCAUGUGAAAAUGGUCCCCAAAUCUGUCAGAAUUAUUCGAUAUGAGCAUGCUACAGACUCUAGGUGAACUGAGCAAUUGCUAAGGAAAUGAUUUGUUGCAGUCACAUUUUCCUAUAUGGAAAUGGAAUAUUGACUAUUUCAACUAUGCUACUUUGGGUGACGCCCACUGCUAACACUCCGGGUACAACAAUGGAAAGCCAGACAGGCCCAUUAGCGAGGACAAUGGACUGGGAAAAGGCUUGGCCUUCCUGUGGACGCUCCAUACUGCCACUGACUCAUGGACUCUGAUACUACAGAGUCAGGUGGUCUUGUCACCUGAUACUAAAUAUUACC